GAUGAACGCUGGCGGCGUGCCUAAUACAUGCAAGUCGAGCGAACAGAUGAGGAGCUUGCUCCUCUGACGUUAGCGGCGGACGGGUGAGUAACACGUGGAUAACCUACCUAUAAGACUGGGAUAACUUCGGGAAACCGGAGCUAAUACCGGAUAAUAUAUUGAACCGCAUGGUUCAAUAGUGAAAGACGGUUUUGCUGUCACUUAUAGAUGGAUCCGCGCCGCAUUAGCUAGUUGGUAAGGUAACGGCUUACCAAGGCAACGAUGCGUAGCCGACCUGAGAGGGUGAUCGGCCACACUGGAACUGAGACACGGUCCAGACUCCUACGGGAGGCAGCAGUAGGGAAUCUUCCGCAAAGGGCGAAAGCCUGACGGAGCAACGCCGCGUGAGUGAUGAAGGUCUUCGGAUCGUAAAACUCUGUUAUUAGGGAAGAACAAAUGUGUAAGUAACUAUGCACGUCUUGACGGUACCGAAUCAGAAAGCCACGGCUAACUACGUG
This 497-nucleotide ribosomal RNA is filed under the name uncultured bacterium. RNAcentral describes it as "partial 16S ribosomal RNA". It matches the Rfam family "Bacterial small subunit ribosomal RNA", at positions 28 to 507 of the family's 1533-position model. The record is from RNAcentral.